Molecule: long non-coding RNA, 790 nt
Organism: Lutzomyia longipalpis
Lineage: Eukaryota; Metazoa; Arthropoda; Insecta; Diptera; Psychodidae
Exons: 3
Source: RefSeq, a predicted model, not a curated record
GCGAUCAUGAGCAUUCCGGAGUGAUCGUAACUUUGUGGAGGAGCGCGCGCGCGCGAGCUCAAGAGAACGUGCUCCGCAUAGGAACGUCACACAAUUUUCCUUUUCGCGUGCAUUGCGGGUCAAGGUGAAUUGGAUUUGUGUAAUAAGUUUAUAAAUCAAUAAAGUGAGAGAGACACAAUUAAAAUAUUUCCUCUUCGGCACCUCAUUGUAUCAUGAAUAAAAUGGUCACGUUUUGCGAUCAAUUGCAAUAAAAAAAAAAGUUAAAUUCAAACUCAUCGAUAUUAUAUUGCUUCCAUUCGCGCCCACACCAUCGUCGAUCCCAACAGUGGAUCUGUGAGUAGGUAUAAAAACUCCGGGAACCUCUUCUGGGAACUUCAGUUACCAUCAAUCAGUGCUCAAUCAGAGAUCCUCCUUUGCUAGUCAAAUUAGCUAACUUUGUGUGUGAAGAGAAAAAUGCAGAAGUUAACUAUCUUUUUGGUGCUUUUGGGAAUCUUUGUGGCUUCCUCAUUGGCAGCUCCUUCACCACAAAUUGCCCUCACAACAUCUCCAUUUGGUUAUGCUGCCUACACAGCCUACAGUUCUCCGUAUCUAGCAUCACCCUAUCGCUACUACUCACCCUAUAGAUAUGCCUAUCCUGGCUAUGGAUACUACGGAUACCCAUAUGUUGUUUAAAGAACAUUAAUUGCUGCGUAAAUUAAGGAUUCCCGAAGGAUGUUAAAAGGAUAAAAAAGGAGCUUUUUAGACGUUUCUAUUGUUGAAGUUUGAAUAAAUUUCGAGAAUUGUUGAGAUA